Molecule: ribosomal RNA, 406 nt
Filed under: uncultured bacterium
Lineage: Bacteria
Description: partial 16S ribosomal RNA
Rfam family: Bacterial small subunit ribosomal RNA
Source: RNAcentral
AUUGAACGCUGGAGGCAGGCCUAACACAUGCAAGUCGAACGAUUGGCGGACGGGUGAGUAAUGUCUGGGAAACUGCCUGAUGGAGGGGGAUAACUACUGGAAACGGUAGCUAAUACCGCCUACCAUCGGAUGUGCCCAGAGGGGAUUAGCUAGUAGGUGGGGUAAAGGCUCACCUAGGCGACGAUCCCUAGCUGGUCUGAGAGGAUGACCAGCCCAACUUGAACAGAGACACGGUCCAGAGUCCUACGGGAGUCAGCAGUGGGGAAUAUUGCACAAUGGGCGCAAGCAUGAUGCAGCCAUGCCGCGUGUAUGAAGAGGGCCUUCGGGUUGUAAAGUACUUUCAGCGGGGAGGCGUUACCCGCAGAAGGAGCACCGGCUAACACCGUGCCAGCAGCCGCGGUAAUAC